UUGUACUGAAGGUGACUUCUGGGAGUUUGCUUAGGGCCAAAGAAGGAAUUCUGGCUCUCUGAGUCAAAUUCCAUCUGUUGGAAUUUCCAUAUUUUCCCAACCAGAGUGCCAACUUGUGCCAAAUGUGCUAUUCUUUUCAUUUUUUUUGUGGAACUUUGUUUCCUAAAAAUUUAAAAAAAAAAAUAAAAAAAAAAGAAAAAGAAAAAAGAAGAAGAGGCUGUUGAUUUGGCUACUUGUCAUCACAUCUAGGUCAAACAUGUGUCGAUACAUGCCAUAUAGGGCUGGACGUGGUUCAAUUCGAUUUGGUUCUAAAGAGAAUCAAACCGAACUUGAAUUUUCGGAUAUUUAGUAAAUAGAUCAUCGGGUCCAAAUUUAAUUAUGGAACGGUACGGGUUUGGUUUCAUUCGGUUACUGGGUUCCAUACAAUAAUUAAUUUUUUUUAAUAUUUCCAACGCCACAUUAAAUUAACUAAAGAUAUGUUCAAUUUUAACUCUUAUAAAAUAAUGUAG
RNAcentral lists this long non-coding RNA (509 nucleotides) under Olea europaea (common olive). RNAcentral describes it as "long non-coding RNA (OEUR_LNC003885)". The record is from RNAcentral. Lineage: Eukaryota; Viridiplantae; Streptophyta; Magnoliopsida; Lamiales; Oleaceae.